Equus caballus (horse) is the source of this 3526-nucleotide long non-coding RNA. RefSeq lists it as uncharacterized. NCBI's taxonomy places the organism in Eukaryota, Metazoa, Chordata, Mammalia, Perissodactyla, Equidae. The record is from RefSeq and is a predicted model, not a curated record.
UACAUAGUUGUGUAUAGAUGUAGUUUCUUCUGGUUCUUCUAUAUGAGCCAUUAUCAUAGCAUGGCUACUGACAGAUGGGUGGUGUGGUUCCGUGACCGGGAAAUGAAUGUGGACACCGAAGGAGUGAAAACACCAAGCUUUAACCACUAGGCCAUCAGGGCUGGCUCACAUUUUUUUUCUCUCUCUCUUGGGAAUUAAAAAAAAAGAAAACCAAACAAGCAGACCAGGUUGUACCUGUUGAUUUCUAUUCAGAUUCUAUAUUCAGACACUAGUAUGUCAUUGGCCACAGUGGCGUGUUUGGCUGGCUGGUUUGGAAGUGGUGAGGAAGAGAGCCAGGCCCUGAGGGUGGAGGGGUCAUGCACACCAUUGGCUGCGAGUAUUUGACCCAAGGCGGAGAGCCCACUUGCGGCCCUGCAUUGUGCUCUCCUGGGCAGCUUCUCCGGGCAGGCAGACACUUGAGCCUCUUGGCCUUACUAAGAAGGACAACUGACCUCUCAGACAUGUGGAAGGAGUGCCAACUCUCCCAAAGCUGGAUGUGAGGUGGGCCUCAUCCAAUCAGUUGAAGGCCUGAAGAGUGAAAACAGGUUUCCUGGAGAAGGAAGGAAUCCAGCCUCAAGGCGGCAAUGGCAGCUCCUGCCUGAGUGUCCAGCCUGCCGACCUGCCCCAUGGACUUUGAACUUGCCAAACCCCACAAUCCUUCUUUUUCCUUUUGCCACUGGGCCAGCUCUGAAAGAAGGAGAAUAAAUGGAACUUAAGAUAGCAAGCAGCAGAAGCAAUGCUUCAAACUACUGUGCCCACCGUUUCUUUUGUUGAAAGCAUCACCGCCAUUGAACAUAUUUACCAUUGAUGGUGUUAUAACACGUGGGCCAUCCUUCUCAAAAGACAUCACAACACAAGCAAGAAGUUAGCCAUCGCUUUGGAAAGCAAAGUGGUCCUAGAAGGUCCCAGAAGAGUGCAACAGAGGACUAUUGUCUACUAAUGACUAAUUCUCAGCCAAAUACGGUCGACUGUUUUAAUAGUCAAGACACAUUUGCCACAGAAAAAGUGUUGUCUGCUGAUAAUGGCAAAUGAGGACUGGAAAAGAUUUUGUCAGCGCAAAUGCACUCUCUUUUUCUGCCCGAUACGAAUUAGAAAGCUUCGUCAGUGAUUGCUUUAAAUUAUAGGCUCCUAAUCUUACCACCUAGCAGUCUCAUAAUUACCAAGUCCUUAUCUGCUGCCCACUGAUUUUCCAUUUGUAAUGUGUCCAUUUUGGAAUGAGAGGAGAACUGCCCAAGAGAUUCGAAAAGAAGAAGAAGAAGAAUGAGAACUUUAAAUGUUCUGGCAACCAAGAACAAAGCUCCUUUCGUUUCAUUUCCACUUCAUCUCCUUGUCUGCAUCGCAGUCUAUCUUGAAGACUCCAGCAGCAGCUGGGAUAUUUACAGAAUGAUGCUGAUGUUUCAAAGUAAAGUAUGAGGUUGGCAGCGACCCUGAGUCUGAUAUAUUGAAAGCAAAAAAAGGAAAAAAUGCAAUCCUCAAAGUUAAAGGAGAUCUGUCGGCUUCUCUCUUUUCUUGAAGCUAAUUAUAUAAGCACCUAUUGCUAAUGUGAAUGCAACCCCUUAAUAAAUAUAUUAAGCAUUAUUAAUAUGUAUUUAAUUACACAAAUUGAGCAUUUAUAGAUUUUUGGUAUUAAUUUCAUGAAGCAAAACAGGAAAACUGAAGAAUGACACCCAUGUCGUUCUUUGGUAUUCUGUGAAAUUCCAAAAGGGCAAGUGAAUAGCGUCUUGAGUCAUAGAUAGAAUUGAUCAUAGCUUUCAAUUGCUUUGUUAGGUUAAUAAGAAGAAAAAUAUAGAAAACUGCUUAACAUCCUUAAUAGGUUGUAAGGCAGAGUGAAUUCUAAGAAACAGAAGCAGUGAUACAUAAGAAGAGGAGAGAGAGGAUAAAACCUCAACAGGAUAAAAUGAAUACAGAGAAGCUUGAGUUAAGAAAGGACUGCAGAGAAAUCUCGAAAAUGUGAUAGUACAAUUAAGUUGUGAAUGAUUCAUCUACAAAGUGAUGACUGUACUUUGGAGUUAAAAGUGGGAACAGAUUCAUUUCUAAAUCCACAUAGCUGUUUUUCUUUUCUUUUUUUAAAAUAGACUUUAUUUUUUAGAGCAGUUUUAGCUUCACAGCAAAGCUGAGCAGAAAAAACAGAGAAGUCCCAAUAACAACGUGCCCCGACACAUGCACAGCCUUCCCACUAUGGUUUUUUUUUUUUUUUUUUGAGUUACAAAUGUUUAGAUAGACUCUGGAAGUAUUGGAGGAGUAAGAAUAUUUUACACAUAAAGGUGUGAAACUUUGUUGGCUUAUCUUUUUCCUUUGCACCUGAUUUCAGGAGACAAUUAUGCCAUAGUCAACAUUUUUUGAAAUAAAUGUCUGUUACUCAAGAAGUGUAUGCCCAGAGAAGUUGUGUUUUAUGCAGAAAGGCAUUAAAGACAUUUUUAGAUAUACAAGAAUUGGGAAAAUAUACUAUAAAUUUUUAAGGAAAAAUUCCAAACCCUUGAAAACAUACCAACGUGCAUUGAAGCUAUGAGUUUAAAAGCAAAUCAUUCAUUGUUUCAAAGGACUUGCAAGCCUUCCCUUCCGGGGUUUCAUCAUAAGUUCUGGAAUCCAGUUGAGCUGUUUGUUCUGUCAGGUAGUGCACGUGGAGUCAUUUCCCUCAAUGCUUACACAUCUACCUACUCUUCUCACAAGGAUCCCCUUUCUCAGUGUUGUUCUUCCCCUCACAUGGAAGCAGAAUCUUGUGCUCAACUUCACGCCCACUUAAUGUGAUUGCUAGUUUUCUCUUUCAAUGGUUAUCAAUUUUGGUAAAAUAUUUCUCUAAUUUGUUCUCUGAGAUUGGAGAACUACCUAUUAAAAAAAUAAAUUUAAUCUUCACUCCUCUUCAAACAAAGUUAUGAAAGGCAACAAAAUGGCCAUUUAUUAAAGAACUUGAAUACUAAUUUUAUUCGUCUUUAAAUCUCACUUUGAAUGACAUACAUUGCAUAUUUUUAAGUUGGGAAAUACAAAGAAAACACUUAUUGAUAGAUAUUAUUUGCUUCCAAGUUGCCAUUUAUUCCUUUUCCAUCUAUAACCUGUGGAUAUAGCAAUGCUAUCAUUAUAACUAUAUUUAAACAAACAGCCCUGGUAAAAAUGCUGAAAGAAACUGCAAGAAAAUAUUAGAAGUAAUUUUCUCUUUAAAGGCCUGGAGGCAUUGUCUUUCUUGUCUUCUGUCUUGUGUGUUUUCAAAGUCACCUAACUAGCCUGAAUUUUUAAUUUUGAGAAAAAAUUUUAUUGAUAUAAUAAAAGUUAUAUAGAAAAUGUAGUUUUUAAAAUCUUCCAUGCUUUAAAAAGAGAAAGAAUUGAUAUUCUGAACUUCUGAUGCAAGCUUUUGAGCAAAAUAAAGAUUAAAAUUAAGUAACAAAAGUAUCAUAGAGAACAUAAGUCUGCACAAAUUUCUAUCUGCUCUUUAGUAGUAAAAAAGAGACAACUAUUUUGAGUAAUUUUUUUUUUCUUGGUGAGGAAGUUUGGC